This 466-nucleotide ribosomal RNA is filed under the name uncultured Agrobacterium sp. RNAcentral describes it as "bacterial SSU rRNA". It matches the Rfam family "Bacterial small subunit ribosomal RNA", at positions 337 to 818 of the family's 1533-position model. Lineage: Bacteria; Pseudomonadati; Pseudomonadota; Alphaproteobacteria; Hyphomicrobiales; Rhizobiaceae. The record is from RNAcentral.
UCCUACGGGGAGCAGCAGUGGGGAAUAUUGGACAAUGGGCGCAAGCCUGAUCCAGCCAUGCCGCGUGAGUGAUGAAGGCCUUAGGGUUGUAAAGCUCUUUCACCGGGGAAGAUAAAGACGGUAUUCGGAGAAGAAGCCCCGGCUAACUUCGUGCCAGCAGCCGCGGUAAUACGAAGGGGGCUAGCGUUGUUCGGAAUUACUGGGCGUAAAGCGCACGUAGGCGGAUAUUUAAGUCAGGGGUGAAAUCCCAGAGCUCAACUCCGGAACUGCCUUUGAUACUGGGUAUCUUGAGUAUGGAAGAGGUAAGUGGAAUUCCGAGUGUAGAGGUGAAAUUCGUAGAUAUUCGGAGGAACACCAGUGGCGAAGGCGGCUUACUGGUCCAUUACUGACGCUGAGGUGCGAAAGCGUGGGGAGCAAAACACGGAAUAGAUACCCUGGGAGUGCACGCCGAAAACGAGGAAGGAAG